UGGGGAAUUUUGGACAAUGGGCGCAAGCCUGAUCCAGCAAUGCCGCGUGUGUGAAGAAGGCCUUCGGGUUGUAAAGCACUUUUGUCCGGAAAGAAAUCCGUCUGGCUAAUACCCGGACGGGAUGACGGUACCAGAUGAAUAAGCACCGGCUAACUCCGUGCCAGCAGCCGCGGUAAUACGGAGGGUGCAAGCGUUAUCCGGAUUCACUGGGUUUAAAGGGUGCGUAGGUGGGUAUGUAAGUCAGUGGUGAAAUCCCCGAGCUUAACUUGGGAACUGCCAUUGAUACUAUAUAUCUUGAAUACCGUAGAGGUAAGCGGAAUAUGUCAUGUAGCGGUGAAAUGCUUAGAUAUGACAUGGAACACCAAUUGCGAAGGCAGCAUACUAUGCGGUGAUUGACACUGAGGCACGAAAGCGUGGGUAGCAGACA
This 427-nucleotide ribosomal RNA is filed under the name uncultured bacterium. Its description in RNAcentral is "bacterial SSU rRNA". It matches the Rfam family "Bacterial small subunit ribosomal RNA", at positions 355 to 774 of the family's 1533-position model. The record is from RNAcentral.